UAAGGAAUAUUGCGCAAUGGGGGAAACCCUGACGCAGCAACGCCGCGUGGAGGAUGACACUUUUCGGAGCGUAAACUCCUUUUAUCAGGAAAGAAUAAUGACGGUACCUGAUGAAUAAGCACCGGCUAACUCCGUGCCAGCAGCCGCGGUAAUACGGGGGGUGCAAGCGUUACUCGGAAUCACUGGGCGUAAAGGACGCGUAGGAGGAUUAUCAAGUCUUUUGUGAAAUCUAGUGGCUUAACCACUAAACUGCUUCGGAAACUGCUAGUCUAGAGUAGGGGAGAGGUAGAUGGAAUUCUUGGUGUAGGGGUAAAAUCAGUAGAGAUCAAGAAGAAUACCCAUUGCGAAAGCGAUCUGCUGGAACCUAACUGACGCUGAGGCGUGAAAGCGUGGGUAGCAAACAGG
This 405-nucleotide ribosomal RNA is filed under the name bacterium. RNAcentral's name for it is "partial 16S ribosomal RNA". It matches the Rfam family "Bacterial small subunit ribosomal RNA", at positions 355 to 776 of the family's 1533-position model. The record is from RNAcentral.